Molecule: ribosomal RNA, 387 nt
Filed under: Triticum aestivum (bread wheat)
Lineage: Eukaryota; Viridiplantae; Streptophyta; Magnoliopsida; Poales; Poaceae
Description: partial small subunit ribosomal RNA
Source: RNAcentral
AUGACUGCUCUUAUUGGUAUGGCUCCUACCGAGGAGGAGGGAGAAGAGAAGAAGAAGAAGGAAAGGAAAGUAGCCGGAGCUUCUUUCAUGUGGAUUCAGGAACACAUUGCAUGCCUUGCGGAUGCCACUGAUGAUGUGAUCCAGACACAUGCUCGUGUCUAUAUGUGGUACGUUGUCUCGAGGACUUUGUUUCCUGACUCCACGGGCAAGAACGCUCCAUGGAUGUGGCUGAAGGUGUUGACCAUCUUCGAUAGCAAAUGGAGCUGGGGUUCAGCGACUCUUGCCUACCUGUACCGACAGGUAGUUGGUUUGUUUUGUUAUCAACUCAUUUCUUCAUUAGCAAUGGAACCUUGCUGUCAAGUUAACAUUGUUUUCUUUCAUAUGUAG